AGUGAACGCUGGCGGUAGGCCUAACACAUGCAAGUCGAACGGCAGCACAGUAAGAGCUUGCUCUUACGGGUGGCGAGUGGCGGACGGGUGAGGAAUACAUCGGAAUCUACUUUUUCGUGGGGGAUAACGUAGGGAAACUUACGCUAAUACCGCAUACGACCUACGGGUGAAAGCAGGGGAUCUUCGGACCUUGCGCGAUUGAAUGAGCCGAUGUCGGAUUAGCUAGUUGGCGGGGUAAAGGCCCACCAAGGCGACGAUCCGUAGCUGGUCUGAGAGGAUGUUCACCACCCCUGAACCUGAGCCCCGGCCCGGCCUCUUCGGGGGGGCCGCGGUGGGAAAUAUUGGCCAAGGGGGGCAAGCCUGAUCCAGCCAUCCCGCGUGGGUGAAGAAGGCCUUCGGGUUGUAAGGCCCUUUUGUUGGGAAAGAAAGGCAGCAGGUUAAAACCCCGCUGUUCUACCGUUACCCAAAGAGUAGCCCCGGCCAACCUCGGU
Molecule: ribosomal RNA, 491 nt
Filed under: uncultured bacterium
Lineage: Bacteria
Description: partial 16S ribosomal RNA
Rfam family: Bacterial small subunit ribosomal RNA
Source: RNAcentral